GAUCCUGGCUCAGGAUGAACGCUAGCUACAGGCUUAACACAUGCAAGUCGAGGGGCAGCAUGGUCUUAGCUUGCUAAGGCCGAUGGCGACCGGCGCACGGGUGAGUAACACGUAUCCAACCUGCCGUCUACUCUUGGACAGCCUUCUGAAAGGAAGAUUAAUACAAGAUGGCAUCAUGAGUUCACAUGUUCACAUGAUUAAAGGUAUUUCGGUCAUCGAUGGGG
RNAcentral lists this ribosomal RNA (224 nucleotides) under uncultured bacterium. RNAcentral describes it as "partial 16S ribosomal RNA". It matches the Rfam family "Bacterial small subunit ribosomal RNA", at positions 15 to 230 of the family's 1533-position model. The record is from RNAcentral.